GAUGAACGCUGACAGAAUGCUUAACACAUGCAAGUCGAUGGGGAAGUGGUGCUUGCACCAUGGCAACCAUGGCGGACGGGUGAGUAACGCGUAAGGGACUUACCUGCAGGACUGGGAUAACAGGGGGAAACUCCUGACAAGACCGGAUAAUGUCAUGGAGCUGCAUGGCUUUAUGAUGAAAGGAGACGCCUGCGGAGAGCCUUGCGUCCUAUUAGCUAGUUGGUGAGGUAAUGGCUCACCAAGGCGAAGAUAGGUAGCCGGCCUGAGAGGGUGGACGGCCACAAGGGGACUGAGAUACGGCCCUUACGCCUACGGGAGGCAGCAGUGGGGAAUAUUGGACAAUGGGGGCAACCCUGAUCCAGCAAUUCUGUGUGCACGAAGAAGGUUCUCGGAUUGUAAAGUGCUUUCAGCAGGGAAGAAGUAAGUGACGGUACCUGCAGAAGAAGCGACGGCUAAAUACGUG
This 463-nucleotide ribosomal RNA is filed under the name uncultured bacterium. Its description in RNAcentral is "partial 16S ribosomal RNA". It matches the Rfam family "Bacterial small subunit ribosomal RNA", at positions 28 to 507 of the family's 1533-position model. The record is from RNAcentral.